Molecule: ribosomal RNA, 465 nt
Filed under: Vreelandella stevensii
Lineage: Bacteria; Pseudomonadati; Pseudomonadota; Gammaproteobacteria; Oceanospirillales; Halomonadaceae
Description: partial 16S ribosomal RNA
Rfam family: Bacterial small subunit ribosomal RNA
Source: RNAcentral
CCUACGGGUGGCAGCAGUGGGGAAUAUUGGACAAUGGGCGAAAGCCUGAUCCAGCCAUGCCGCGUGUGUGAAGAAGGCCUUCGGGUUGUAAAGCACUUUCAGUGGGGAAGAAAGCCUUUGGGCUAAUACCCUCGAGGAAGGACAUCACCCACAGAAGAAGCACCGGCUAACUCCGUGCCAGCAGCCGCGGUAAUACGGAGGGUGCGAGCGUUAAUCGGAAUUACUGGGCGUAAAGCGCGCGUAGGCGGUCUGAUAAGCCGGUUGUGAAAGCCCCGGGCUCAACCUGGGAACGGCAUCCGGAACUGUCAGGCUAGAGUGCAGGAGAGGAAGGUAGAAUUCCAGGUGUAGCGGUGAAAUGCGUAGAGAUCGGGAGGAAUACCAGUGGCGAAGGCGGCCUUCUGGACUGACACUGACGCUGAGGUGCGAAAGCGUGGGUAGCAAACAGGAUUAGAUACCCUUGUAGUC